This is a ribosomal RNA of Capsicum annuum, 3365 nucleotides long. The record is from RefSeq and is a predicted model, not a curated record. NCBI's taxonomy places the organism in Eukaryota, Viridiplantae, Streptophyta, Magnoliopsida, Solanales, Solanaceae.
UGGCCCCAGGUCAGGCAGGAUUACCCGUUGAGUUUAAGCAUAUCAAUAAGCAGAGGAAAAGAAACUUAUAAGGAUUCCCUUAGUAAUAGAGAGCGAACCGGGAAUAGCUCAGCCUUAAAAUCGUCCGGCUUCGUCGUUCGAAUUGUAGUCUAGAGAAGCAUCCUCAGUAGCGGACAGGGUUCAAGUCCCCUGAAGGGGGUGACAAAGAUUGUGAGAGCCUCGUUGUGCCCAGACCCUGUCAUACAAUGAGGUGAUGUUGACGAGUCAGAUUGUUUGGGAAUGCAGCCCAAAUCGGGCGGUGAAUUUCGUCCAAGGCUAACUAUGGGCGAGAGGCCGAUAGCAAAUAAGUACCGCAAGGGAAAGAUUAAAAGAACUUUGAAAAUAGAGUCAAAGAGUGAUUGAAAUUUUUAGGAGAAAAGCGAAUAGGAACCGCGAUGCACCCCAGUCGGAUGUGGAAUGACGACGACCCAGUCUGCCGAUCGACUCGGGGCAUGGACCAGCAUGGAUUGGGGGGAGUACAAAGCCCGAGCUCUCUAUACCCUCGAAGAAAUCUGUCUCCUUGAUUGUGGUAGGCAGCGUGCACCUCUAGCGUACUUCGACAUCUGCGCGCUCCAGACACUGGCCUUUUGGUUCUCCAUUCGACCCAUCUUUAAACACAGACCAAAGAAUCUGACAUAUGUGCGAGUCAACGAGUGAGUAAACCCAUAAGGCUUAAGGAAGCUAAUUGGUAGGAUCCCCCUAAGGGGUGCACCACCGAUCGACCUUGAUCUUAUGAGAAGGGUUUGAGUGUGAGAAUAGUUUUUGUGACCCAAAAGAUGGUGAACUAUUCCUGAGCGAAGCGAAGCUAGAGAAAGCUCUGGUGAAGGCUUGCAGUGAUACUGACGUGAAAAUCAUUCUUCUUAAUUAGGUAUAGGGGUGAAAGACUAAUCAAGUCGUCUAGUAGUAGGUCCCCUCCAAAGUAUCCCUCGGGAUAGCAGGAGCUCGGGUGCGAGUUCUAUUGGGUAAAGGCAAUUAUUAGAACACCCUUGACCUAUUCUCAAACUUUUCAUAGGUAGGAUGGUGUGACUGCUUUGUAGAGCUGCGCUACAAAAUCAAGAGCUAUAAGUGGGCCAUUUUUUAUAAGCAGAAUUGGCGAUGCAGGAUAAAUCGGAGGCCGAGUUACGAUGCCAAACUAUGCGCUAACCUAGAUCCCACAAAGGGUGUUGGUAGAUUAAGACAGCAGGGCGGUGGUCAUGGAAGUUGAAAUAUGCUAAGGAAUGUGUAAGAACUCACCUGCUGAAUUAAAUCACCCCAAAAAUGGAUGGCGCUUAUGCGCACGACCUACAACCAACCGUCGGGGCAAGUGCUAGGCCCCGAUGAGUAAUAGGCAUGGCGGUCGCUGCAAAACCUUGGCUGCAAACUUGGGUGGAGUGACCGUCGGUGCAUAUCUUAGUGGUAGUAUCAAAUAUUUAAAUGAGAACUUUAAGGCUGAAGAGGGAAAGGCUCCAUGUGAACGGCACUUGCACAUGGGUUAGUCGAUCCUAAGGGUCGGGGGAACCCCAACAAAUAGCAUAUUUUGCACAUAGUCUAAAAGAAAAUUAGGUUAAAAGUACAAAACUGGGACGUGGCAGUCGACGGAAAUGUUAGAAAGUUUGAAGAUGUCGGCAGGAGCCUCGAGAAGAGUUAUUUUUUUUGUUUAACAGCCUGGCCACACUGGAAUCGGCUCUGCCAGAGGUAGGGUAUAGUUGCUGAAAGAGAACCACACAUCGCGUGGUGUCAAAUGUACACUCGGAGGCCCUUGAUAAUAUGGAGGACCGAAUGACAUCUACUCUAGGUCAUACUUAUAAUCACAUUCGGUCUCCAAGGUGAACAGCCUCUGUUAAAUGGAACAAUGUAGGCAAGGGAAGUCGGCAAAAUGGAUCCGUAACUUCAGGAAAAGGAUUUUCUCUAAGGUAUGGGCACGGGGGUCCCAGUCCCAAACCCAUCGACUAUCGAUGGACUGCUUGAGCUACUCUCGUGGUGAGAGCGGGUCGUUGUAUGCCGGUCGAGGGAUGAACUCAAAAUGGUUCCUUCGAGGGCCUUCCCCACGUGUCAAAUAACGAACUCAAAAAUGGUACGCAAAAGGAAAAUCCAACUGUUUAAUUAAAAAAAAGCAUUGCGAUGGUACCAACGGAUGUUCACACAAUGUGAUUUCUUCCUAGUACUUUGAAUAUCAUAGUGAAGAAAUUCAACCAAGCGCAGGUAAAUGGCGGGAGUAACUAUGACUUUCUUAAGGUAGCCAAAUACCUCAUCAUCUAAUUAGUGACGCUUAUGAAUGGAUUAACGAGAUGGCCACUGUCCUUGUCUACUAUCCAGUGAAACUACAACCAAAUAAAUGGGCUUGGCAGAAUUAGCGGGGAAAGAAGACCCUUUUGAUUUUGGCUCUAGUCCGAAUUUUUGAAAAUACUUGAGAGGUAUAGUACAAGUAGGACCCGAAAGGGGAAAGUGAAAUACCACUACUUUUAAUGUUAUAUUACUUUUUUCGUAAAUCGAAAGUGAGGCACUACCUUUUUUUGGGCAUAAGGCUCGCUCUACAGGCUGAUUCCAGCGGAAGACAUUGUUAUGUGGGGAGUUAGGCUGGGGCAGUAUAUCUGUUAAAAUAUAACACAGGUGUCCUAAGAUAAUCUCAACGAGAACAAAAAGCUCGUAUGGAACAAAACGGUAAAAGAUCGUUUGAUUCUGAUUUGUAGUACAAAUACAAUUAGUGGAACCAUAUCCUAACUACCUUUAGACCUUUGAAAUUUGAAGCUAGAGGUGUCAAAAAAUUUACCACAGGGAUAACUGGCUUGUGGUAGCCAAACGUUCACAGCGAUGUUGCUUUUUGAUCCUUCGAUGUAGGCUCUUCCUAGCAUUGGGAAGCAAAAUUCACCAAGUUUUGGAUUGUUCACCCACCAAUAGGGAAUGUGAGCUGGAUUCAGACCAUUAUCAGACAGGUGAAUUUUACCCUACUGAUGACAGUGUUGGAAUAGUCAGUCAUCCUAGUAUGAGAGGAAUCAUUGAUUCGAACAUUUGGUUAUCAUGCUUGGUUAAAAAGCCAGUGUCACGAAGCUAUCAUGUGAUGGAUUAUGAAAGAAUCCCUCUAAGUUAGAAUCUGGGCUAGAAGCAAUGCAUGCGCCCUCCAUUUGCUUGCCGACCCACAGUAGGGGCCUCGUCCCCCAAGGGCACGUGUCGUUGGGUAAGCCAUUGUGGCGAAAGGGUUGCGGUGGCUACCUUUAAGUACAAUUUUCAUCGAGCAGCGGGUAGAAUCCUUUGAAGAGUACUUAAAUAUGCAAUAGGGUAUUGUAAGUGGUAGAGUGGCCUUGCUGCCAUGAUCCAAUGAGAUUCAGCCCUUUGUCACUCCAUUUCAC